RNAcentral lists this ribosomal RNA (392 nucleotides) under uncultured bacterium. Its description in RNAcentral is "bacterial SSU rRNA". It matches the Rfam family "Bacterial small subunit ribosomal RNA", at positions 524 to 916 of the family's 1533-position model. The record is from RNAcentral.
GACAGAGGUGGCAAGCGUUGUUCGGAAUUACUGGGCUUAAAGGGCGCGUAGGCGGUAGUGCAAGUCCGUGGUGUAAUCCCAGGGCUCAACCCUGGAACUGCCUCGGAAACUGCAUUACUUGAGUCAGUGAGGGGAGGGCGGAAUUCCCGGUGUAGCAGUGAAAUGCGUAGAUAUCGGGUGGAAGGCCGGUGGCGAAGGCGGCCCCCUGGCGCUUGACUGACGCUGAGGCGCGAAAGCGUGGGGAGCAAACAGGAUUAGAUACCCUGGUAGUCCACGCCCUAAACGGUGGGUAUUAGGUGUUGGGCUCGCGAGAGUUCAGUGCCGCAGGGAAACCAUUAAAUACCCCGCCUGGGGAGUACGGCCGCAAGGUUGAAACUUAAAGGAAUUGACGG